Small nucleolar RNA from Rhinolophus ferrumequinum (greater horseshoe bat), 72 nucleotides. NCBI's taxonomy places the organism in Eukaryota, Metazoa, Chordata, Mammalia, Chiroptera, Rhinolophidae. The record is from Ensembl.
GGGAUCCAUGACGAGAACGUGUUACGAACCAAGGAUUGUGAUUAAUUCAGUUCUGUUCACCUGAGCUCCAAG